AAUGGCAGGUCAGCAUACUGCCGUGAAUACGUUCCCCGGGCCUUGUACACACCGCCCGUCACACCAUGAGAGUUGGGAAUACCCGAAGCCUGUGAGCCAACUUUUAAAGAGGCAACAGUCGAAGGUAGAAUCAAUGAUUGGGGUGAAGUCGUAACAAGGUACC
This 163-nucleotide ribosomal RNA is filed under the name uncultured bacterium. Its description in RNAcentral is "partial 16S ribosomal RNA". It matches the Rfam family "Bacterial small subunit ribosomal RNA", at positions 1340 to 1500 of the family's 1533-position model. The record is from RNAcentral.